AGUGGGAUAGCUGGGUCAAAUGGUGGUUCCAUUCCCAGUUUUCUGAGGAAUCUCCAACCCCUUUUCCAUAAUGGUUGCACCCAUUUGCAUUCCCACCAGUAGU
RNAcentral lists this microRNA precursor (103 nucleotides) under Marmota monax (woodchuck). Lineage: Eukaryota; Metazoa; Chordata; Mammalia; Rodentia; Sciuridae. The record is from RNAcentral.